UUUCCGUAGGUGAACCUGCGGAAGGAUCAUUAUUGUAUAACCGAGGUGCGAGGCCUGUGGCUGACCUGAUAGGUCGUGCACGCCCGAGUUCCCUCACACACAUCCAUCUCACCCCUAUGUGCACCACCGCAUAGGUCCCCCUGUUGCAUGUUGUGAGGGGGCCUUACGUUUUCAAACAGACUUUGUAUGGAGUGUAGAAUGUAUUUUUUGUGUUUGCUAUCGGGCAAUCAAUACAACUUUCAACAACGGAUCUCUUGGCUCUC
RNAcentral lists this unclassified non-coding RNA (263 nucleotides) under plant metagenome. RNAcentral's name for it is "partial contains small subunit ribosomal RNA, internal transcribed spacer 1, and 5.8S ribosomal RNA". The record is from RNAcentral.